CACUGAGCCAUUGGAGAAGCCCCAAGAAAUUAUUCUCUAUUAAUUUUGAUACUGGACAGUGGUGAUUAGGAGGUGGAUUCUUUACCUGCUGAGCCAUCAGGGAAGACCCAUUCCCAUGGGAAUAAUGAGAAUUCUUAUUUAACACAAAGCGUUUGACUGUGUGGAUCACAACAAACUGUGGGAAAUUCUUAAAGAGAUGGAAAUACCAGACCAGCUUACUUGCCUCCUGAGAAGUCUGUGUGCAGGUCAAGAAGCAACAGUUAGAACCAGACGUGGAACA
This is a long non-coding RNA of Dama dama (fallow deer), 280 nucleotides long. RefSeq lists it as uncharacterized. NCBI's taxonomy places the organism in Eukaryota, Metazoa, Chordata, Mammalia, Artiodactyla, Cervidae. The transcript is spliced from 3 exons. The record is from RefSeq and is a predicted model, not a curated record.